UGGGGCGUCGCGCGGAGCUGAGGAAUAGGUAGUUUCUCUUCUCGCUGCUCUUGAAGGAAAUGGAUCUCUAACAGAGAACACUUUAGGCAGUAAGUUUUCAGACAGUCUCCAUAUGCCAGGCUGUGUUCAAGGACCUAUGAAAACAGCGGUGGACGAGAAAGAUGUAAUCGGUGUCCCUGUGGAGUUUACAACCUGGAGGAGCCACCCUCUGAGGCAGAUUCUCUCAUCAUCCCCAUUUUACAAGAAUGGAAACUGAGUCACGGGAGGUUGGAUCAUCCCAGCCCAAGGUCACAC
This is a long non-coding RNA of Neogale vison (American mink), 294 nucleotides long. RefSeq lists it as uncharacterized. The transcript has 3 exons. Lineage: Eukaryota; Metazoa; Chordata; Mammalia; Carnivora; Mustelidae. The record is from RefSeq and is a predicted model, not a curated record.